RNAcentral lists this long non-coding RNA (717 nucleotides) under Phasianus colchicus (ring-necked pheasant). Its description in RNAcentral is "lncRNA (ENSPCLG00000003321.1)". Lineage: Eukaryota; Metazoa; Chordata; Aves; Galliformes; Phasianidae. The record is from RNAcentral.
GAAAACUGUCUCUGAAAACUGAGUGCUUGAUUGGAGAAGGUGUGGGAUCCCAAACAUGGUUUUCUGCAGAUCCUAGUGGUCCUGGAGAAGUCCUGGCUAUGACCAUGGUUGCACAUAUUAUCUAAAGGGAAUAUUGAUCAGGUGGGAUGAAGGCUGGCAGGCUGGGAUCCAGUUCCAACACACCACACAAGUGAUACCUCUCUGUGGUGAGACCAUCACAAGCUGAUCCUGGUGAAGUCAAAGUAAUUCACAUCUGAUGAGGGUAAAACAUGCUGUACAAUGCUAGGAAAUAAGGAAGUAUUUUCAGCUAUCAUCCAUGAAAUAAUCAGGAUCUGCAGCCAGAGGGAAGCAAACCUGUUGAAAUCUUCAAGGUGCAGGAUGGAAAAGCUUUCUGAGAUGUUUUCUUUUUCACUUCAAUUUAAAAGAAGAUGCUAAGGACAUCAAGGACCUAAAUGUCAUUAUUUGGGUUUGGAGAGAACUUGAAAUCGUCUGUACAAAGGAACAAGAAGUGUUCUUAGAUAUGUGAGCUGGAGGAAUUCAGUAGGAAAUCUUCCCUGACCAGACAAAAUGACCACAUUCUCAGCUUUAAUUAUCACUGUUGAUUUGAGACGAAGAUGGAAAUAAUAAUGAAUUCUAUACCUUCAGUGGUAAGUCACAGACUACCUCCGAGAUGAUGUGGUUUGAAUUAGAUAGGUGUGACUUUGCUUGGCAGGAGUG